UCCCAGCAAUGCCAAAACCCGAGUUUCCUCCCCUAAAAAAGCCAGAAAUCCCAACAAUGCCAAAGACCGAGGUUCCUCCAGCUAUAAAAAAGCCUGAAGUUCCAGCUUUGCCAAAGCCCGAGAUACCAAUUGUGCCAAAACCAGAAAUCCCAGAACUACCAAAGCCAAAAAUCCCGGAGCUACCAAAGCCAAAACUACCAGAGCUUCCAAAGCCCGAAGUCCCAGCUAUGCCAAAGCCUAAAAUCCCAGAACUGCCUAAACCAAAAGAGAUACCUUUUCCUUCACUUUCUCCACCUCACAAGCCCGCUACUCCUUGAGUAAUUACAAUGCACCCAAUCGUGUUUUGAGAUUUCCAUCUUUGUCUGUGAAGUUUGCUACGAGGGCAUGGCAUGGAGAUAGUUUGGCACAACAUAUUAAUACUUUCUGCAAGAAGUGGAAAUUAUGAUUCUUUUAUAGCAUUUAAUUGGAUGUACCAUGUUUCAUUGGAUGUAUCAUGUUUAUCGUGUCAUUAUAUCAUGAAUGUUUUAUGUACUUUCAAUACAGUGUUUAUCUAUGUCACUUUUUAGAGUUAUUUUUAUUUAGUUCCUAUCUUUGGCCAUAUCUGAUUUUACUCAAUUGCCUUUUUCCCCUACUCCCCUUCGUUUAAUUAAAACCUAUUACUACUUUCUUCCUUCACAAAGAGAUGGAAAGGAUGAAUUAACAUAUUUAAGCGCCGGUAGAAUAAUCUGAUCUCAAAUACAAGAACUGAACCAAAUAUUCAAGCAUUUGUUGCUUUCUGUCUCAUUCAUCCUAAUGCACACCGGAUUCAGUUACAAAUUUUGCAUGCUCUAAAAGAAACAUAAAAAACAAUGGGGAUACUUGCUUCUUCUUAAGGGGGAGAUUGUUCUUAUGGAGCAAUUUAUAGUUAUGGACAAAUGAACUAGCUAAAAUUUCUCUUAGCACAUUCCUUAUAAAAACAAUUCUCUAAAACAUUAUUGCGCGACCAUCUCAUCUAAAAUUCAAGUUUAUUUCCCUAACAAUAUGAAAACUUUUUAGUAAUAGGUCGUGGUAAGUCUUGAAUCUCGUACCUCUAUCUGCUUUAAUCCAUGUUAAAUUGUGUGACCAUGUCAUCUAAAAGAAAACUAACUGUUAGAAAGGGUACAUUUCCAUUUAGUUGAACAAAUCUUCAAUAAUCUUAACCUUUUGAAUUAUCUUUUUUCAUUUCUCCAGUACUAAACCAAUAUGGAGUACAUAUUUCUAUUUCUAGUAAACAAUCAGUCUCUUUCGGUGAACUUCCUAAACUUUCCGACGGAUUAAAGACAAAAGCUGAAGCGGAGCUCACACUUCAGGGUAGUUACAACGAGAAUAGAUAUUGUACCUUUGAGCGGUGCACUCAUGGUUGUGAGAAGAACUCUAGAGUGGAUAAUCUUGUCUCUAUUAAAAGUCGGGAACUGUGUAGCUGAAUCUCUUCUAAUACCUUGUUUAUGUUUUUGUCUGAAUUUACUUGUAUUAACAAUCUCAUUGUUUCUUUGAUGAAAGGCUGAAUGUGAUAUAACUGUCAAGCGCCAGAUCCGUUUACCAAUUGUAAAAGAACCUUCUGCUGUCUGCUUUCUGUACAGCUGCCUCAUUGUUAUUUUACCUGGCUCAAUAUCGAGAUCAAUGCUAUAUGCAAUGCAACUAUUCACGUGUCUGGAUUUGAUAUGCUAUUGUUUCAGCUAUUGUCUAUUUUCAUUUCCUGGAGAAUCGUACUCUAAACUUUCAAAAGUGUAUCAUUUGAACCGAAAGAAUAAUCGGAUUAUGCAAAGUCUACGCCAUUGUGGUAAGUUUUUGCUCUGUAAAACCAAGUUCUUUUCUCCCUGUGUUUUAAUCCGUUAGGCUUGAAGUCUCACUCUUUUGCCUUCCUUUGUACUUACAAUUCUAAUAUUAGCUAGUUUAGAAAAUAGAAUAACGGGUAAUAUGUGACUAAUGAGGUAAGUUUACGGUUCACUUCUGGUCGUCCAUUUCAUCAUGUUUGCAAUACCUUUUUGUUUGACAUUUGUAAUUCCUGUCAAUUUCCUCAGGUGGCCAUUACGUACAUACGACCAAAAUGAAGAUUUACAGUAAAUGCACCAAUGACUUUUCUUUUUCUAAAGAAAUAAGAACAGCUAAUUAAACCGGGAAUUGGUAUCAGGUUGACAGCAUAUCAUAUAUUGGUGACAGUUUCAGACUUUUAAUAUGUUAUUAGGUAAUCCACAUUGACUUUUUGAGGUACCAGAGAUUACGCCAAGUGGAUGAGAAGUUCAACUACUCAGGUCCUUACGUAACAAACAAAAUCUUGAAGCUACUGUUGCAUGCGUUUUAAAACCUAUAUAUAGCAAUAGACUUAAAGCCAGUAGCACACAUCCCAGUUUCAUUAAUUCUACACAUUUUCUCUAAGCUUCUAGGAUCUGCAGAAAAAUGGCUCACCAUUACCAGCUAUCCUCCCUCAUGCUACUUGCAUUUCUCAACUUGUGCUUCAUGCAUGGCCCCAUAACUGGUGCAACUGCACGGCGUCUACUAGAGACACCUCUACCUGAGAUUCCUAAACCAGAAUUACCAAAAGUUCCAACCUUGCCAAAGCCUGAGAUCCCAACUGUGCCGAAACCUGAGAUUCCAGCCAUUCCAAAGCCUGAGAUCCCAACUGUGCCGAAACCUGAGCUUCCAACCAUCCCAAAGCCUGAAAUACCAGUUGUCCCGAAGCCUGAGACUCCUAUUAUGCCAAAACCUGAAGUACCAAUUGUGCCAAAGCCCGAGCUACCAUCCAUCCCGAAGCCUGAGUUACCAACUUUACCAAAGCCUGAAGUACCAACUGCGCCAAACCCUGAGCUACCAACCAUCCAAAAACAUGAGUUACCAACUUUGCCAAAACCUGAAGUACCAACUGUGCCUAAGCCAGAGACUGUCCCGAAGCCUGAGAUUCCUAUUAUACCAAAACCUGAAGUACCAACUGUGCCAAAGCCCGAGCUACCAUCCAUCCCGAAGCCUGAGAUCCCAACUGUGCCGAAACCUGAGCUUCCAACCAUCCCAAAGCCUGAAAUACCAGUUGUCCCGAAGCCUGAGACUCCUAUUAUGCCAAAACCUGAAGUACCAAUUGUGCCAAAGCCCGAGCUACCAUCCAUCCCGAAGCCUGAGUUACCAACUUUACCAAAGCCUGAAGUACCAACUGCGCCAAACCCUGAGCUACCAACCAUCCAAAAACAUGAGUUACCAACUUUGCCAAAACCUGAAGUACCAACUGUGCCUAAGCCAGAGAUACCAGCUGCCCCAAAGCCUCCAACUUUGCCAAAGCAUGUGAUCCCAGCUGUGCCAAAACCCGAGCUUCCUGCUAUGCCAAAGCCUGAGAUUCCAACAAUGCCAAAACCCGAGUUUCCUCUCUUGAAAAAGUCAGAAAUCCCAGCAGUGACAAACACGAAGGUUCCUCCAACAAUAAAAAAGCCUGAAGUUCCAGCUUUGCCAAAGCUAGAAAUCCCAGAGCUACCAAAGCCAAAACUCCCAGAGCUUCCAAAGCCUAAAAUCCCCGAACUGCCUAAACCAGAAGUUCCAGCUAUGCCAAAGCCUAAAAUCCCCGAACUGCCUAAACUAACUUUUCCUUCACUUUCUCCCCCAUACAAACCCUCUACUCCUUGAGUAAUUACGUUCACUCUAUUAGAAAGUACCCAAACUGAUGCUUUGAGAUUGCUAUCUCAGUCUAUGAAGUUUGCUGCAUGGGCCGUGACAUGGAGAAAUUUUGGAAGAUCAUACUGGAUACUUUCUGCUAGGUGUAGAAUAUAAAUUCAUUUGUCGUAUUUGAUGUGCCAUGUUUCGCCGGUCAUUAUAUUGUAUACGAGUGUUUUAUGUUCUUUUUAUAUAAAGAUAUGAUCUAUUUCACAGUUUGGACUUACUUCGAUUUAGUUCCUUUCGUUGGCCAUCUCUGAUUUCAAUCAUUGUUUGUCUGAUUUUUCCCACUUCUGUUUUUCUCUAUCCUAUUACUACUUUUUUCCAUUCUCAUUUGACAUUUUGAUGUAUUUAAGAACCAAACCCGGAGAUUUAGGAUGUGUUUUGGUAUAACGGAAAUUAAUUUUCAUAAAAAAUAUUUCCUUAGAAAAUAGAUAGUAAUUUUAUUUAUUUUUCUGUGUUAAGUACACAAAUUAAGAAAAAUAACGUCUCAAGAGUAUUCAUAAAUAAUUUAGAUACAAUAAAUAUGAAGCCAUAAACUUCCGAACCAACAAACUUCCGAACCUACAAAUUUCAUAAACUUUCGAAACUGCUAACUUUCGAACCCGUAAACUUUAUAAAUAUUUCUAAACCCGUAAAUUACUUUAAAUAUUUAACUAAAAUUAAUCUAAAGUAACAAAGAGAUCAAGAAAACAAGUUGGUGAAUUAUAGAGACGAAUUUAAUAUGAGUGAAUAUUCUAGAGCUAUGGGUUAGCUAACAAUUCCGUUGAGUUUUUAAUUUAAAUCGUCUAAUUAAUUUAUCUGAUUAAUUGGUUGACAGAGUUAAUAUUGCUCGUAGCCUUCUCCCGAAGUACAACUCGCCUAUUCAAGCUAACCUAAAGCCUAUAUUCCUAUGGAAUUAAAAUUAACAAGAACACAUUUAUAAUUCCUGUAUAGUAAUCAAGCAAACCGAUUAGGCAUAUUCAACCGAUUAGGUAUAUUCCUAUGGAAUUAGAAUUAACAAGAACGCAUUUAUAAUUCCUGUAUAGUAAUCAAGCAAGGCGAUUAGGUAUAUUCCUAUCCUAACCGCAAAUUCGCUCCCCCCUCCCCCAAGAGUUAAGAUUUUGCUCUACUCAAUCUUAUAUGCAAUCUAGAAUUCCUUCUCUCGAGUUCAAUCCUAGAUCUGUAGAUAGUAUUUAAUUGGUGAUCAAGCAAUCAAAUAAUUUAGCGCAAGAUUGAAUAAAUAAACCAAUAUGAUAAAAUAAUAGGAACAAUCUAAGCUUCAAACUACAACGUUCAUGUAGCAUCCAAAACUCUAGAACUAAUAAACUGUGAGAUUAAAUGAAGAGAAGAGAAGAAAAACUAGUUAGGAGCCUCCUCCAAAGCGUGGUGUGUUCCUCCACGUGAAUUCCCCUUCAAAAUAUGUUCCCUAGGUCUAAGAUCUGUCAUAUGUAUGUCCCACCUCUCUAAAAUAGCGUUUUACAUGUAUUUAUACCAAGUAGGGUCGGGUCCAGAGGGAACAUCUGUCAAAAGUAUGCCCUACCUCUCCAAAAUAAUUAUACCAAGUAGGGUCAGGCCCAGAUAAAAACACCUUCUCCCGCGCGAAAUAGGACUCUGGCUCUGUAAGUUUUGUACAGACGCGCCGCGCCAUGCAGCGCGCUAACGGAGUUUAUCGGCAAGCUGUACUUUUCUUGUCUUGCGACAUUUUACACUGCUGCGUCGUGCCUUGCGGCGUCCUAUGCGGCGCUACAGUUUAAUUUUCUCAGAGUGAACAUAUUUCGUCCUCUUUUAACAUCCAGACAUGGUACACCACCUCUGAACACGAUUCCGACUUGAUUCCUUGGGCUUUUACUCAGACUUUAAAGCUCUAAAUCACUUGAAUACAUUCCAUAACGCAUACAUAGAUCGAAAUCACUCCUACAAGGCAUAAAAUACAUAUUUAGUGCAACACACUAGCGAUUAAAGCUCAAACUCAAUUAAAGUACAGUAAAUUAGAGUGUAAUAAGCGUCUAAAAUACACAAUAAUAGCCCAUCAUCAACACCCUACACUUAAAUCAUUGCUCGUCCUCGAGCAAUCAAACAUUACUUUAUAUAGACACAAUCUUUUUUAAACAAUUCUCCUAAAUCAUCACACCAAGAAUAUUUAAAAUAGACUAAGCACAAGAGUGUAACAUAUUCACCUCAAGAUCUGACUCACAAGUAUCACGCAUUAUUCACAACUCACUCACUUACUCUAACAUAGAAGUCACGGAAACUGCCUUUCCUUCGUGAACCAGGUGCUCUCACACAACAAAAGUGAGUAGUUUCACACAAUAAAAUUUAAGAACACUUAGGAACACAAGAUAAAAAGAAUUCACUCACUCUCAGAAAUAACAUUCAUAUGCCACAGAAGAUGCAUCAUAGGCUUAACUGUAGUGUAUUACUCUACUAAUCGAGCUUAUUCAGUCUAGGAUCAAGUAUGACUUUAUUUGGUUGUAAUGUAGGCUGCAGGAUGGGUAGGAUACAUUUAGAUAUAAUAGUGACUAUACAUCCCUAAGCACUUCAAUACAUACACUUUAACAUUGAAAAGCCCACACUUAUGUCGAACCAUAACUCCACAUUCACACCAAUAUAUAUUAACUCUCCACUUCUUUAAGUACAAUUAUAUCAAGAGUCACCACCACCAUCUAGAAUUAUUUUUCGCAACAAUACAACUAAUUUUUUUUCUUUUCAAUUCACGUGGCUCUUACUUUUUCAAAACAAUGCACCUUUCUCCUUUUUCAUUAGUUCAAAUCAAAAGUCAAACCAACCACCCCCACUUUAACUUUUAUAAAGUUCAUAACAAUUCAAAUGCUCAUGAGAGGUGAAAAGGUUCAAAUAGAUGGUAGUUCAAAAAAAUAGGCAAGACGUGUAAUGUGGUUGCCAAAGAAACAGGAUUAUAGACUCAAAUAGGUUAACAAUGAUAAUAAAAAUUAGGCGGGUAUAUAUAUAUGGCUCAACAAAGAAACGCAUAUAUCACUUCCAAGACUGAACAAAACUACUAUUUCGCUUUGCAAACACAUGGGGCAAGUUCUAGACAUCAAAUGCAUUGCACAGAAUAACACAAAACCUUGCACACACAUAACACAUAAAUCACUCAGGAUUGGACACAUCAAGAUACUCUAGUCAAAGAAGUUAAGCAAAGUUAAGAUCAUACAAUUUAAGGUACUUAUAAAAGAGUUAAAAACUGAGCCUAAGCGUUACAACCAAAGUACUCACUAUUCUCAAGGCAUAACAAUUCAAGAGAUAUUGCUUCAAUUCAAUUCACAUCACCAUGGCUUCUCUCCUAAAAAAAAUAAAAAUACCUACAUCCGGUUCAAACAAAACCCUUGGAAACGAACCGCAACACAAAGAAAAACCAAUGGGAAAUUACUACACUACCUACAAAAAAAUCUUUUUGUCAUUUUUCUUUAGACUUAAAUCCCUCAAGAAAACUGCCUAGGAGAUCCAUCGUCGGAAAAAAUUCAAUUUACUUUUUUACGUUUUUCUAAAUACAAAAAAAUUAUUUAAUUAAACUAACACAACUAAAAUAGCAUAGAAAGUCACUUAGACAUUCUCCUCGCCCCACACUUUAAAUUGUGCAAUGUUCUCAAUGCACACUAUAACUAAUAAGAGGGUAAAAGAGACUCCCUGAUAGGCCAAAGGCCGAAACAUUAGUAUCUCACGAGAUACUCAUACUUCUCCCAGGUAUGCUCCUUUGUGCGGGUACCUCACACUUUGUUUUAACCAAAUGCUCUCCUUUACACAUGCCUAUUGGCUAUGACUUCAUGCUCCUACUCCUACAAAAUACAAAAAUAAUAAUACAAAUAUAAUACAAUAAAAAAAUACAAAAGGAAAAAAAUAAAAUUGAGUUGCCUCCCAAGAAGCAUUUGAUUUAACGUCGCGGCACGACUCCAUCACUUUCAUCACUUUUCCUUCCACUUAGAAGAUAUGAAUUGUGCCCCCAAUUUGGCAUCAAUUUUUCUAUUAUGUUCAUGAGGCGGUGGUGUGAAAAUAAAGAAACCAAACAAAAUAUGUCGCAUCUUCCACUACUUGACCCUUAAGUGAGGAAUGUUGUUUUGUUUCCUUGGCAUCACAAACUUCAGAAUGUAAGGGUCUUGUUCUUCAUCUAUACAUCUCUCCAAGGGUUCGAUCUCCAUGUCUUCAUCCAAACAUAAUGUAGAAAAAUGUAUAAAAUGAGGACCAACACGCCCCAACUCUAAAACUGCAUUAUUUUUUACAUCCUCAGUAAUACAUACUCCCUCAACCUCGGCAUCAUCAACAAAAACAUGGUCUAGUGAUUGGUAUCCUCGUUUUAGCUCCUCAAUUUGGCUUAAAAGAAUUUUUUCAGCUUCACAAAACUCAUCAUUAAAUUGUUGGACAUUACAUGCAUCAACCUUUGCACUCAAUUGGGCUUCCAAGUCGCGAAUAAAUUUUGCCAAAGUGAUUGAUCUCUUGUCCCAGUUCAGCUCUUCCUUCUAUAAAGUGUUAUAUCUCAUUCGUAAUUUUCUCACGGAAACCUCCAUAUUCCUCUAAUAAUUUCAUGUGCACAUCAGGAAUGCGAACAUCAUGUUCAACAUCUUACAAUUCGUUACUCCUUUCAAACUCACAAGAAUUAUAAUUAGAAUCAACACAAGAAGGGACUGGAGUAGGAUAACAACACGUAGGACAAUUGUUCCAAUUUCCAUCACAAAUAGUACAAGAUGAAAAUGGUGCACACAACUCAGUAGUAGGAAUAUUUUUACAAUAUUGCCACAAGUGGAGUCCUUUACAAUAUGGACAAGGAUCACAAAAAUAAGAAUAUUUACUAUCCCACCACUUUUCGUUCAAAGAUGUCAUGUAAAAAGAAAUAUAACACUAACUCCACUAAACUAAAAUUAAAAACUGAAAUAGAUAAAAAAGUAAAAAAUUUAAUCUAGUAAAAUAGUUAAUUUCUAAGUCCCCGGCAACGGCACAAAAAAUUUAUUGCUCCCAAACGCACGCGCAAGUAUACGUGGUCGAGAAGUAAUAUAGAAUUGUAAGUCCAGAUAUCGUACCCACAUGGACUUGUGAUUAACUAUCAACUAAAUUAGACCAAAUAAUCCUAAUGUAUAAAUAUUUAACUAAAAUUAAUCUAAAGUAACAAAUAGAUCAAAGAAAAUAAGUUGACGAAUUAUAAAGGCGAAGUUAAUGCGAGUGAAUAUUCUAGAGCUAUGGGUUAGCUAACAAUCCCGUUGAGUUUUUCACUUAAAUCUUCUAACUAAUUUAUCUGGUUUAUUGGUUAACAGGGUUAAUAUUGCUCAUAGUCUUCUCCCGAAGUACAACUCAUCUAUUCAAGCUAACCUAACGCCUAUAUUCCUAUGGAAUUAUAAUUAACAAGAGCACAUUUGUAAUUCCUGUAUAGUAACCAAGCAAGGCGAUUAAGUAUAUUCUUAUCCUAACCGCAAAUCUGCCCCCUUAAGAGUUAAGAUCUUGCUCUACUCAAUCUUAUAUGCAAUCUAGAAUUCCCUCUCCCGAGUUCAAUCCCAGAUUCGUUGAUAGUAUUUAAUUGGUGAUCAAGCAAUCAAAUAAUUAAGCGCAAGAUUGAAUAAAUAAACCAAUAUGAUAAAAUAAUAAGAACAAUCUAAGCUACAAACUAUAACGUUCGUACAACACCCAAAACUUUAGAACUAAUAAACUAUGAGAUUAAAUUAAGAGAAGAGAAGAAAAACUAGUUAGGAGCCUCCUCCAAAGCGUGGUGUGUUCCUCCACGUGAAUUCCCCUUCAAAAUAUGUUCCCUAGGUCUAAGAUCUGUCAUAUGUAUGUCCCACCUCUCUAAAAUAGCGUUUUACAUGUAUUUAUACCAAGUAGGGUCGGGUCCAGAGGGAAACACCUUCUCCCGCCCGAAAUAUGACUCUGUAAAUUUUGUACAGAUGUGGCGCGCCAUGCGGCGCGCUAAUGGAGGUUAUUAGCAAGCUUGACUUUUCUUGUCAGGCAGCAUUUUACACUGCUGCGCUGCGCCUUGCAGCGUCCCAUGCAGUGCGGCAGUGUAAUUUUUUCAAAGUGAACUUAUUUCGUCCUCUUUGAACAUCCGGACUUGGUACACGAUCUCGACUUAAUUCCUUGGAUUUUUACUUAGACUUCAAAGCUCCAAAUCACUUGAAUACAUUCUAUAACACCUACAUAGAUCGAAAUCACUCUUACAAUGCAUAAAAUACAUAUUUAGUGCAAAAUACUAGUGAUUAAAGCUCAAACUCAAUUAAAAUAUAAUAAAUUAAAAUGUAAUAAGCAAUUAAAAUAAACAAUUAUAGCAUAUCAUCACAAGUCAUGAGGCGUUUUCUUUUGCCCGCCUCUGUUUUACUUUCACUAAAUUAGAAAAGCAACAAAUAUAGAAAGGACAUCAAUCACAUUGUGAUUGCAAAUUUAGAGUUAAUAAAAUAACGUGUAAGGUAUUUUUUUAACACAUUUUGCUUCCUGGAUGAUCAUAUUAAUUAGCUGUAGAUCCAACAAUUCUUUAGCUGCAUUGAAAAAUGCGACGCAGAGAUUAAUUUCUUUGCAAGGAAGUUGAAGCAACGGACCAAUACUGUUUUCUAACAAGUGGCAGCUAAUUAGAUGAGAUAAUGACAGGUUUUGACUAUUAUGGCAUAGUAGUAGAUAGUAUAUUGUUAUUUGUUAAUAAACAGAUUUUGAGCUGCCAGAAGAAAAAUUUCAAGAUAAUAUUGGCAGGCAAAUAGAUGAGAAGUUCAACUAACAUAUCCCUUUCCCAACAACCAAAAUAUUGAAGUCCUACUUUUGUUGCAUGAAUGUAAAACCUAUAUAUAGCAACAGCCUUAUAUCCAAUGCCACAUCCAAAUUUCACUGAUUCUAUACACACUCUUCUUUAAGCUGCUAGGAUUUGCAGAAAAAUGGCUCAUCAUUAUCAGCUAUCCUCCCUCUUACUGCUUGCAUUUCUCAAUUUAUGCUUCAUGAAUGGCCACAUAACAUGUGUUACUGCACGCCGCCUUCUGGAGGCGCCCCUCCCUGAUAUUCCUAAACCAGAAUUUCCAAAAGUUCCAACCUUGCCAAAGCCUGAGAUCCCAACUGUGCCGAAGCCUGAGAUUCCAGCCAUACCAAAGCCUGAAAUUCCUGUUAUGCCAAAGCCUGAAGUACCAACUGUGCCGAAGCCUGAGCUGCCAACUGUCCCAAAGCCUGAGUUACCAACUUUACCAAAACCCGAGAUCCCAACUGUGCCAAAGCCCAAGCUUCCAGCUAUGCCAAAGCCUGAGAUCCCAGCAAUGCCAAAACCUGAGUUGACAAACGCACCAAAGCCUGAAAUCCCAAUGGUUCCAAAGCCCGAGAUUCCUACUAUGCCAAAGCCUGAGCUACCAGCUACUCCAAAACCUGAGUUACCAAAUUUCCCGAAGCCUGAGAUUCCAACAGUGCCAAAGCCUGAGAUUCCAGCCGUGCCAAAGCCGGAGAUACCAAAGUUGUCAAAGCCCGAGCUUCCUCGCCUAGAAAAGCCAGAGGUUCCAGCACUGCCAAAGACUGAGCUUCCUCCAGCUAUGACAAAGCCUGAUGUGCCGACUGUGCCAAAGCUCGAGCAACCAGUGGUGCCAAAAC
This 11184-nucleotide long non-coding RNA is filed under the name Nicotiana benthamiana. RNAcentral describes it as "long non-coding RNA (NBEN_LNC024467)". The record is from RNAcentral. Lineage: Eukaryota; Viridiplantae; Streptophyta; Magnoliopsida; Solanales; Solanaceae.